GGUGAGGUGGCUGAGUGGUCGAAAGCGGCGGAUUGCUAAUCCGUUAUACGGGUAAAACCGUAUCGUGGGUUCGAAUCCCACCCUCACCGCCA
RNAcentral lists this transfer RNA (92 nucleotides) under Candidatus Portnoyibacteriota bacterium. RNAcentral describes it as "Candidatus Portnoybacteria bacterium tRNA-Ser". It matches the Rfam family "tRNA". Rfam says of the family: Transfer RNA (tRNA) molecules are approximately 80 nucleotides in length. Their secondary structure includes four short double-helical elements and three loops (D, anti-codon, and T loops). Lineage: Bacteria; Candidatus Portnoyibacteriota. The record is from RNAcentral.